AGAGAAGCGAUGCGGCGACGCAGAGCGGAACUUCAAAGCCUGUCUCAGUUCGGAUUGGAGUCUGCAACCCGACUCCAUGAAGCUGGAUUCGCUAGUAAUCGCGCAUCAGCCACGGCGCGGUGAAUACGUUCCCGGGCCUUGUACACACCGCCCGUCAAGCCAUGGAAGCCGGGGGUGCCUGAAGUGCGCUGCCGCAAGGAGCGCCCUAGGGUAAAACCGGUGACUGGGGCUAAGUCGUAACAAGGUACC
RNAcentral lists this ribosomal RNA (249 nucleotides) under uncultured bacterium. RNAcentral describes it as "partial 16S ribosomal RNA". It matches the Rfam family "Bacterial small subunit ribosomal RNA", at positions 1243 to 1500 of the family's 1533-position model. The record is from RNAcentral.